GACGAACGCUGGCGGCGUGCUUAACACAUGCAAGUCGAACGGAAAGGCCCCUUCGGGGGUACUCGAGUGGCGAACAGGUGAGUAACACGUGAGUAACCUGCCCUUGACUUCGGGAUAACUUCAGGAAACUGGGGCUAAUACCGGAUAGGAAUCCUUGCUGCAUGGUGGGGGUUGGAAAGCUUCGGCGGUUUUGGAUGGACUCGCGGCUUAUCAGCUUGUUGGUGGGGUAGUGGCUUACCAAGGCUUUGACGGGUAGCCGGCCUGAGAGGGCGACCGGCCACAUUGGGACUGAGAUACGGCCCAGACUCCUACGGGAGGCAGCAGUGGGGAAUAUUGCACAAUGGGCGGAAGCCUGAUGCAGCAACGCCGCGGGCGGGAUGACGGCCUUCGGGUUGUAAACCGCUUUCAGCAGGGGCGAAGCUUGUGGUGACGGUACCUGCAGAAGAAGCACCGGCUAACUACGUG
Molecule: ribosomal RNA, 465 nt
Filed under: uncultured bacterium
Lineage: Bacteria
Description: partial 16S ribosomal RNA
Rfam family: Bacterial small subunit ribosomal RNA
Source: RNAcentral